Molecule: RNA transcript, 1371 nt
Organism: Nomascus leucogenys (northern white-cheeked gibbon)
Lineage: Eukaryota; Metazoa; Chordata; Mammalia; Primates; Hylobatidae
Gene name: phosphoglycerate mutase 1 pseudogene
Source: RefSeq, a predicted model, not a curated record
GCGGAGGUUGCUGCAAAGCAUGGUGAGGCCCAGGUGAAGAUCUGGAGGCGCUCCUAUGAUGUCCCACCACCUCCGAUGGAGUCCGACCAUCCUUUCUACAGCAACAUCAGUAAGGAUCGCAGGUAUGCAGACCUCACAGAAGAUCAGCUACCCUCUUGUGAGAGUCUGAAGGACACUCUUGUCAGAGCUCUGCCCUUCUGGAAUGAAGAAAUAGUUCCCCAGAUCAAGGAGGGGAAACGUGUACUGAUUGCAGCCCAUAGCAACAGCCUCCGGGGCAUUGUCAAGCAUCUGGAGGGUCUCUCUGAAGAGGCUAUCAUGGAGCUGAACCUGCCGACUGGUAUUGUCUAUGAAUUGGACAAGAACUUGAAGCCUAUCAAGCCCAUGCAGUUUUUGGGGGAUGAAGAGAUGGUGCGCAAAGCCAUAGAAGCUGUGGCUGCCCAGGGCAAGGCCAAGAAGUGAAUGCCAGCGGGGAGGAUAGUGUCCCCAGGAGCACCCUCCCUGCGUGUCUUGUCCCUCUGCCCCUCCCAUCUGCACAUGUCACACUGACCACAUCUGUAGACAUCUUGAGUUGUAGCUGCAGAUGGGGACCAGUGACUCCCAUUUUCAUUUUAGCCAUUUUGUCUCCUGCACCCACUCCCUUCAUACAAUCUAGUCAGAAUAGCACUUCUAGAGCACAGAUUCUCAGUCCAAGCUGUGGAAAAGCUCCCCUUAUCCAACAGAGUUUAAAAGUAGUGACUUGGAUUUUUGUGAGUUGCUUUGUUUACUAAGGACUUGUGGGGAGGAACCAUGCUAAGCCAUGACCAAUGAGGAGAAGCAACAGAGUUUGUCUGUCCCCAAGAGCCAGUCCUCUGCUCUUCUGCAGUCAGGCCACUGCCUGGGGGCUCUAGUCAUUCCAGUGGAAGAUGAAUGUAACCUGCAUGGUGAUGUGACAACUGUUUCCUCCCUGACCCCAGAGGAGCUGGCUCUAGAAGGUUGGGAUCAAUCCUGAAUUUAGUUAUGUGUUACAUUUAAUUUAAAAAGUAUAGUAUAUAUAAAUAAUACAAAACAAUAACCCUUCUGGGGUUUCUUGUGGCGGUUGAAAUAGUCCCACAUGUGGUCAUCAGAAAAUAAGCCAUUCCUCAUACCAAUAUAGCAAGAUCAGCUCCUUGACCUCUGAGGGGAGGGAGUGCUUCCUGGUGUGUUUAUUAGAAUCCCUUCCUGCCUUGUUUCGUGGCAGUGAAAUGCCUCUUGGUCCUGUCCAAGUGUGUCUUUCACUGAUUUCUGAAUCAUGUUCUACUUGCUUGGCCCUGCCACAUGGGUCCAAUGUUCAUCUGAGCAUAAUUGUAAUAAAUCCUUUUUCCAGAUCAGUAUAAUAAAAGGAGUGAUGUGAAA